Molecule: ribosomal RNA, 433 nt
Filed under: uncultured bacterium
Lineage: Bacteria
Description: partial 16S ribosomal RNA
Rfam family: Bacterial small subunit ribosomal RNA
Source: RNAcentral
AACGAACGCUGGCGGCAGGCCUAACACAUGCAAGUCGAGCGAGGACUUCGGUCCUAGCGGCGGACGGGUGAGUAACGCGUAGGAACGUGCCCUUUGCUUCGGAAUAGCCCUGGGAAACUGGGAGUAAUACCGGAUGAGCCCUUUGGGGGAAAGAUUUAUCGGCGAAGGAUCGGCCCGCGUUGGAUUAGGUAGUUGGUGGGGUAAUGGCCUACCAAGCCGACGAUCCAUAGCUGGUUUGAGAGGAUGAUCAGCCACACUGGGACUGAGACACGGCCCAGACUCCUACGGGAGGCAGCAGUGGGGAAUCUUAGACAAUGGGGGAAACCCUGAUCUAGCCAUGCCGCGUGAGCGAUGAAGGCCUUAGGGUUGUAAAGCUCUUUCAGCUGGGAAGAUAAUGACGGUACCAGCAGAAGAAGCCCCGGCUAACUCCGUG